Molecule: ribosomal RNA, 278 nt
Filed under: uncultured bacterium
Lineage: Bacteria
Description: partial 16S ribosomal RNA
Rfam family: Bacterial small subunit ribosomal RNA
Source: RNAcentral
CGGAACAAUUUUUACUUUAGUGGCGGACGGGUGAGUAACGCGUGGGUAACCUGCCCUAUACAGGGGGAUAACACUUAGAAAUAGGUGCUAAGACCGCAUAAGCGCCCAGGGCCGCAUGGCCCAGGGUGAAAAACUCCGGUGGUAUAAGAUGGGCCCGCGUCUGAUUAGCCAGUUGGCAGGGUAACGGCCUACCAAAGCGACGAUCAGUAGCCGGCCUGAGAGGGUGGACGGCCACAUUGGGACUGAGACACGGCCCAAACUCCUACGGGAGGCAGCAG